RNAcentral lists this RNase P RNA (320 nucleotides) under marine eukaryotic metagenome. Its description in RNAcentral is "Bacterial RNase P class A". It matches the Rfam family "Bacterial RNase P class A". From Rfam's summary of the family: Ribonuclease P (RNase P) is a ubiquitous endoribonuclease, found in archaea, bacteria and eukarya as well as chloroplasts and mitochondria. Its best characterised activity is the generation of mature 5'-ends of tRNAs by cleaving the 5'-leader elements of precursor-tRNAs. Cellular RNase Ps are ribonucleoproteins. The record is from RNAcentral.
GGUCAUGUGAUUGCUGUUUAACAGAGGAAAGUCCGGGCUCCUAAGGCAAGGCGCCAGGUAACACCUGGGAGAUGUGAAUCUACGGAAAGUGCUACAGAAAAUAACCGCUGUCCGCAGUAAGGGUGAAAAGGUGAGGUAAGAGCUCACCGCUUUAUCAGGUAACUGAUUUUGGCAAAGCAAACCCCGCCUGGAGCAAGGCAAAUUUGUAGGAUAUGUUUCAGCCUGAAACUUACUACAUGGUAUGCCGCGUGAGGUUAUUGGUGACAAUAAUCCCAGAUAAAUAAUCACACUAGACAGAACCCGGCUUAUAGACCAGCUCU